CCUACGGGAGGCAGCAGUGGGGAAUUUUGGACAAUGGGCGCAAGCCUGAUCCAGCCAUGCCGCGUGCGGGAAGAAGGCCUUCGGGUUGUAAACCGCUUUUGUCAGGGAAGAAAAGGUUCUGGUUAAUACCUGGGACUCAUGACGGUACCUGAAGAAUAAGCACCGGCUAACUACGUGCCAGCAGCCGCGGUAAUACGUAGGGUGCAAGCGUUAAUCGGAAUUACUGGGCGUAAAGCGUGCGCAGGCGGUUAUGCAAGACAGAGGUGAAAUCCCCGGGCUCAACCUGGGAACUGCCUUUGUGACUGCAUAGCUAGAGUGCGGCAGAGGGGGAUGGAAUUCCGCGUGUAGCAGUGAAAUGCGUAGAUAUGCGGAGGAACACCGAUGGCGAAGGCAAUCCCCUGGGCCUGCACUGACGCUCAUGCACGAAAGCGUGGGGAGCAAACAGGAUUAGAUACCCUGGUAGUCCACGCCCUAAACGAUGUCAACUGGUUGUUGGGAGGGUUUCUCUCAGUAACGUAGCUAACGCGNGAGUAGACGCGCGGAGGUACGGCGCGAGUAGUAACGUAAAGUAAGUAGUACGCGUGAGAGUAGCGACGGACGACGACGAGGGAGGAGG
This 616-nucleotide ribosomal RNA is filed under the name uncultured bacterium. Its description in RNAcentral is "bacterial SSU rRNA". The stretch from base 1 to 541 matches the Rfam family "Bacterial small subunit ribosomal RNA", at positions 338 to 873 of the family's 1533-position model. The record is from RNAcentral.